RNAcentral lists this ribosomal RNA (3650 nucleotides) under Triticum aestivum (bread wheat). RNAcentral's name for it is "partial small subunit ribosomal RNA". Lineage: Eukaryota; Viridiplantae; Streptophyta; Magnoliopsida; Poales; Poaceae. The record is from RNAcentral.
CGCACGGCAGGAGACAUACAUACAGAGGCGGGCGGGGGGAGGAGGAGGGAGGAAAGGGGAGGGAACCACCCCGUCCGAGCCGACUUUGGAUCCACCCACCUCCCGACGACGAUCCGGUCGCAAAUCGGAGCUGCCGCCAGCUCCCCUCCCCCCUGCUCCGCUCGCCGAACGGACCCGUUACUUCUACUCGGAUCCCUGAGCUGGUCCGGUUGGCCUAAUACGCGCGCCGGAGCUCGAUCUCGCGCCGGGAGGCUGGCCGAUUGCUGAUUCGGGGCCGGAUUUGGGUGCCGGGCGUGUCGUGGCGUGCGGGUGAGGCGUGCGGGAGCUAGGGUUCCGGCGGGCGGGCGCGCGCGCCGGCGAGAUGACGACCCGGCGGGUGAGGCGGCGCACGUGCAGGGACAAGGGGAAGGGGAAGGAGGUUGUGGAGGACGGGCGGGCGGUGGAGGCGGGCUCAUCGCCGCCGCGGGACUGGGCGCCGGCGGGGGAUGGGGAUGGGGGCGGCGAGGCGGUGGCCGGCGAGGCCGUGGACUGGACGCUGCUUCCGGAUGACACGGUGCUGCAGCUAUUUGGCCGGCUGAGCUACCGCGACCGCGCCAGCUUGGGGGCGACCUGCCAGACGUGGAGGGGGCUCGGGUCGUCGCCGUGCCUGUGGAGCACGCUCGACCUCCGUGCCCACCGUUGCGACGCUGAGGUCGCCUCGUCGCUGGCCUCGCGAUGCGGGGGCCUGCAGCGGCUGCGGCUGCGGGGCCAUGAGGCGGCUGUGGCGGUGGCCUCCGCCCUCGGCGCCCGCGACCUCCGAGAGGUGGUGGCCGAGGGCUGCAGGGGACUCACUGACGCCACCCUUGCAGUCCUCGCCGCUCGACACGAGGCGCUGGAGAGCCUCCAGAUCGGUCCAGACCCCCUUGAGCGCAUCUCCAGCGACGCCGUCCGCCAUGUCGCUCUUUGCUGCUCCCGCCUCCGUCGCCUCCACCUCUCGGGUCUCCGUGAAGUUGACUCUGAUGCCAUAGGAGCGCUGGCGCGCUACUGCCCCCUCCUUGAGGACGUCGCCUUGCUCGACUGUGGCACUGUAGAUGAGGCUGCCCUUGGUGACAUCCACUCCCUCCGAUUCCUCUCUAUAGCAGGAUGCUACAACGUGAAGUGGGCUACAGCAUCCGCCUCAUGGGCCCAGCUUCCCUUGCUAGUCGCCGUCGACGUCUCCCGCACUGAUGUCUCUCCAAAUGCUGUCGCUCGUCUAAUCUCCCACUCCAAAACCCUCGAGCUUAUAUGUGCUCUUAACUGCAAAUUCGUCGAAGAGGAACAAGCACACAGUCCCACUGCAUUUAGCAACUCCAAGGGCAAGCUUGUGCUUACCAUCACAUGCCCCAUUUUUAAAUCACUCGCUUCACUGUUUCCUGGCGAGGCUGUGGAGGAGCACGGCGUGUUCAAUGAGUGUAAUUGGAGGAACAAAAGGAAAAUACUUGGUGUCAUGAUGAACUGGCUCGAGUGGGUCCUAUCACAGUCGCUUCUUCGGAUUGCGGAGUGCAAUCCAUAUGGCAUGGAUGACUUCUGGUUGCAGCAGGGCACAUCAAUGCUGCUGAGCCUGGUGAAGAGCUCACAGGAGGAUGUGCAGGAGCGUGCAGCUACAACAAUUGCUACAUUUGUGGUUAUUGACGAUGAAACUGCGAAUGUGGAUGCUGCAAGGUCGGAGGCGGUAAUGCGGGAUGGAGGCAUUCCACUUCUGCUGGACCUUGCAAGGUGCUCAAGGGUGAGUGCACAGUCUGAAGCAGCAAAGGCUAUUGCCAACCUAUCGGUGAAUGCAAAGGUUGCAAAGGUGGUUGCAGAUGAAGGAGGUAUCGCCAUUUUCACUAAUUUGGCUAAGUCGACGAAUCGACUUGUUGCUGAAGAAGCUGCUGGUGGCCUUUGGAAUCUCUCCGUGGGUGAGGAGCACAAGGCGGCUAUUGCGGCAGCUGGUGGUAUAAAGGCUUUGGUUGAUCUUAUAUUUCGUUGGCCUGCUGGGACUGAUGGAGUUCUUGAACGUGCUGCUGGUGCGCUUGCAAACCUAGCUGCUGAUGACAAGUGCAGCCUGGAAGUCGCAAAGGCUGGUGGUGUCCAUGCUUUGGUUACACUUGCUCGAUCAUGUAAACUUGAGGGCGUCCUAGAACAGGCGGCAAGGGCUCUAGCCAACUUAGCUGCACAUGGAGAUAACAACAACAAUAAUGCGGCUGUAGGUCAGGAAGCAGGGGCUCUUGAGGCAUUAGUGCAACUAACAUGUUCUCAAAACGAGGGUGUAAGGCAAGAGGCUGCUGGUGCUUUGUGGAACCUAUCAUUUGAUGAUAGGAAUCGUGAAGCUAUUGCUGCUGCGGGGGGUGUUGAAGCAUUGGUUUCACUUGCACAACAAUGUCUGAAUGCUUCGGAAGGCCUUCAGGAGAGAGCUGCUGGCGCAUUAUGGGGACUAUCUGUCUCAGAAUCGAACAGCAUCGCAAUUGGGCAGGAGGGUGGCGUUGCACCAUUGCUCACAAUGGCACAGUCAGAGGUUGAAGAUGUUCAUGAGACAGCUGCAGGGGCAUUGUGGAAUCUUGCUUUCUAUUCCAGCAAUGCUCACCGUAUAGUUGAAGAAGGUGGGGUGCCUAUCCUUGUGCACCUUUGCUCAUCAUCAGGGUCAAAGAUGGCUCGGUUCAUGUCUGCGCUAGCCCUUGCCUAUAUGUUUGAUGGAAGAAUGGAUGAGGCCGCCAUUGUUGGGACAUCGUCUGAGGGCAGUUCCAAAGGUGUUAACGUCGAGGGAGCUAGAAGAAUGGCUUUGAAGCAUAUAGAGACCUUUGUGUUGACGUUUUCAGAUCCACAGGUGUUCUCUAUGGCUGCAGCUUCCUCAGCACCAGCAGCGCUAUCUCAGGUUGCCGAAGCAGUGUUCAUACAAGAAGCUGGACACCUGAGAUGCAGUGGUGCUGAGAUAGGUAGAUUUAUUGCCAUGCUUCGGAAUCCUACACCAGUUCUUCGUGCGUGUGCCGCAUUUGCCCUUCUUCAGUUCUCAAUCCCGGGAGGUCGACAUGCAACACACCAUGCGGACCUUCUGCAAAAUGUAGGAGCGGCUCGGGUCUUGCGUGCAGCGGCGGCAGCAACAUCAGCUUCCAUUGAGGCCAAAGUGUUCGCCAGAAUUGUCCUUAGGAAUCUGGAACACCAUCAGGCAGGGACUUCAACCUGAAAACACAAUGGCGAGCACAAGCGCGACUAAUUCUCCAACAGGGUAUGACUUCUAACCUUUGGCCCCAGAAUGGAUGCAAACUCGCGGUUAAGUUGUCGCCGGCAUUUGAAGCUGCCGCGCAAGCUGUGACCUUGGAACUUCCACCUUGAGGAGAACUGUCAGAAGAGAUGAAUGAACGUUCAACCGGCAGCUGUUGAGUGUGCAAUUUUCCUGUUGUUUGUCUGAUGUGUAAAAGUAACUUAAAAAGUGUUAGCGUUAGCAUCGGCAGGACGUAGAGAACUUUUAUGGUAUAUAGAAAGUUAAGAGUGUUUGUUAUCGGUUGAUUUAAUUUAACAAGGUGAGCGGCAGCGGGUGACAUUGUUAGGCUGCUCCACCUGUCGCAUACAUGUAAAACUUUGUAGAUGUAUACUGCUUUGUUAUAUGAACGUCCCGUGGAUAUGUGCUCCUGUGCUUUGUGCAAAUUAAACGCGCC